UACGGAGGAUCCGAGCGUUAUCCGGAUUUAUUGGGUUUAAAGGGUGCGCAGGCGGGAGAUUAAGUCGGCGGUGAAAUUUUGCAGCUCAACUGUAAAAGUGCCUUCGAAACUGGUUUCCUUGAGUGUAGAUGAAGUAGGCGGAAUUUGUGGUGUAGCGGUGAAAUGCUUAGAUAUGACGCAGAACUCCGAUUGCGAAGGCAGCUUACUGGGAUGCAACUGACGCUGAGGCACGAAAGCGUGGGUAUCAAACAGGAUUAGAUACCCCGGUA
This 269-nucleotide ribosomal RNA is filed under the name uncultured prokaryote. RNAcentral describes it as "partial 16S ribosomal RNA". It matches the Rfam family "Bacterial small subunit ribosomal RNA", at positions 524 to 792 of the family's 1533-position model. The record is from RNAcentral.